AUUGAACGCUGGCGGCAUGCCUUACACAUGCAAGUCGAACGGUAACGGGCCUUCGGGUGCCGACGAGUGGCGAACGGGUGAGUAAUACAUCGGAACGUGCCCGAUCGUGGGGGAUAACGAGGCGAAAGCUUUGCUAUUACCGCAUACGAUCUACGGAUGAGAGCAGGGGACAGCAAGGCAUUGCGCGGGCGGAGCGGCCGAUGGCGGAUUAGGUAGUUGGUGGGAUAAAAGCUUACCAAGCCGACGAUCUGUAGCUGGUCUGAGAGGAUGAUCAGCCACACUGGGACUGAGACACGGCCCAGACUCCUACGGGAGGCAGCAGUGGGGAAUUUUGGACAAUGGGCGCAAGCCUGAUCCAGCCAUGCCGCGUGCAGGAUGAAGGCCUUCGGGUUGUAAACUGCUUUUGUACGGAACGAAAAGCCUUCUUUUAAUACAGGAGGGUCAUGACGGUACCGAAAGAAUAAGCACCGGCUAACUACGUG
Molecule: ribosomal RNA, 482 nt
Filed under: uncultured bacterium
Lineage: Bacteria
Description: partial 16S ribosomal RNA
Rfam family: Bacterial small subunit ribosomal RNA
Source: RNAcentral